UAGAAUCCAAGUUUGUUGAUCAAUAAUCCAUUUUUUGCCUUCAAGUGUAGGUGCUGACUCGGGAUCCAUCAUCAUUAUGUCUUUCUCAAAUCUUUUCUUUUCUUGUUCUUGCAUUGCUGCAAUUCUCAUCUGCUCGGUUUCUUUUUGAGCUUGUAGCCUCAUUUGUUUUGCUUCCAUUUUGGCUUGUAACUUUUGUUGUUCUCUUGCAGUUCUUCUAAUGGCUUCUUCUUCGAACUGACUUGAAGCUUCUUUUCUCAUACUAGAAAACUCCUCUACAAAUAAGUCCAUGGAAGGAAAUUUUUUCUUCUUUCUAGGACAUUUUACAGUUUUGCGACCAUUAGGACGUGCUGGUCCAGUUGAACCGUGAUUAGAUAGUCUAUCU
RNAcentral lists this long non-coding RNA (382 nucleotides) under Erythranthe guttata (spotted monkey flower). RNAcentral's name for it is "long non-coding RNA (EGUT_LNC001442)". The record is from RNAcentral. Lineage: Eukaryota; Viridiplantae; Streptophyta; Magnoliopsida; Lamiales; Phrymaceae.